AGGACGAACGCUUGCGGCGUGCCUAAGAAAUGCAAGUCGAGCGAGGGGCUUCGGCCCCUAGCGGCGAACGGUCGCGUAACACGUAGGCAACCUGCCCCAAAGUGGGGGAUAACAGCCCGAAAGGGCUGCUAAUACCGCAUGUGGCCGGUGGAAGGCAUCUUCUACCGUCUAAAGCAUUUAUGCGCUUUGGGAUGGGCUUGCGGCCUAUCAGCUAGUUGGUGAGGUAAUGGCUCACCAAGGCGACGACGGGUAGCUGGUCUGAGAGGACGAUCAGCCGGAUUGGGACUGAGAUACGGCCCAGACUCCUACGGGGGGCAGCAAUUAGGAAUCUUGCGCAAUGGGGGAAACCCUGACGCAGCGACGCGCGUGCGGGAUGAAGGCAUUCGUGUCGUAAACGUCUUUUGGUAGGGAAGAGAACGGACGUAACCCAACGAAUAAGCCCCGGACUAACUACGUGACCGAGCAGCCGC
RNAcentral lists this ribosomal RNA (470 nucleotides) under uncultured soil bacterium. RNAcentral's name for it is "bacterial SSU rRNA". It matches the Rfam family "Bacterial small subunit ribosomal RNA", at positions 26 to 518 of the family's 1533-position model. The record is from RNAcentral.